RNAcentral lists this unclassified non-coding RNA (18 nucleotides) under Chlamydomonas reinhardtii. RNAcentral's name for it is "small RNA Cre_3790". The record is from RNAcentral. Lineage: Eukaryota; Viridiplantae; Chlorophyta; Chlorophyceae; Chlamydomonadales; Chlamydomonadaceae.
UUCAGGUAGCGGGACCAG